GUGGGGAAUAUUGGACAAUGGGCGAAAGCCUGAUCCAGCCAUGCCGCGUGUGUGAAGAAGGUCUUCGGAUUGUAAAGCACUUUACGUUGGGAGGAAGGGCAGUAAGUUAAUACCUUGCUGUUUUGACGUUACCGACAGAAUAAGCACCGGCUAACUUCGUGCCCGCAGCCGCGGUAAUACGAAGGGUGCAAGCGUUAAUCGGAAUUACUGGGCGUAAAGCGUGCGCAGGCGGUUAUGUAAGACAGAGGUGAAAUCCCCGGGCUCAACCUGGGAAGUGCGUAUGUGACUGCAUAGCUGGAGUGCAGCAGAGGGGGAUGGAAUUCCGCGUGUAGCAGUGAAAUGCGUAGAUAUGGGAAGGAACACCAGUGGCGAAGGCGACUACCUGGACUGAUACUGACACUGAGGUGCGAAAGCGUGGGGAGCAAACAGGAUUAGAAACCCGGGUAGUCC
Molecule: ribosomal RNA, 450 nt
Filed under: uncultured bacterium
Lineage: Bacteria
Description: bacterial SSU rRNA
Rfam family: Bacterial small subunit ribosomal RNA
Source: RNAcentral